CAACAGCGCCAGGCAGUGGCCAGGGGGCUUCGGCGCGUGCGGGCUGGAGAGGUCGGCGCGCAGCCAGACCCAGCUGAAGAGCUGCAGCGCGACUGAGGAGAGGCCCAACAGCGCCAGCACUAGCGCGGCCCACAGGCUCCUGGAGACCCAAAACGGCGAAUCUGGCCCGGAGAUUAGCGCCCGGGCUAGAACUGCGAUGUCUCACGUCUGCAUUGUUGCAAAACAAAACAACAGAACGCCAAGGCCCGUUCCGAUCCCUGACUGAGGGACUUUGCUAAGUUUGCCUCCGAGUCCGGGCCGUGUGCCAGGGGAGACAGAGGGCACUGGAUCAACCAGGCGCAUCUUCCUGGCAGCUCAUUUUACUCGGAUUAUCCGAAUAGGAGGAGGGGGAUUCAAUAACUGGGCAAGGGAGUUACUUUAAACAUGAUUUACAAAUUAAUAACA
This is a long non-coding RNA of Aethalodelphis obliquidens (Pacific white-sided dolphin), 444 nucleotides long. RefSeq lists it as uncharacterized. The transcript has 2 exons. The record is from RefSeq and is a predicted model, not a curated record. Lineage: Eukaryota; Metazoa; Chordata; Mammalia; Artiodactyla; Delphinidae.